Non-coding RNA from Meleagris gallopavo (turkey), 1471 nucleotides. NCBI's taxonomy places the organism in Eukaryota, Metazoa, Chordata, Aves, Galliformes, Phasianidae. The record is from RefSeq and is a predicted model, not a curated record.
CCCUCGCCCCGUCGCUUACAUAAAGGACCGCGUCAGCUGAUGGCCGGGCCGGCUCGCCAUUGGUGGAAGCUCCAGGGCGGGAGCGAGGCGGUUACAAAACGCCGCGCCGCGCGCGCGUUCCGUAACAGGGUGGGAGGGGCGGGGCUGGCGCCGGGCGGACUGGGUGUGAGUCAAACGGGGGGCGGGCUCGCGUGGGGGCGCGUGCGGCCGUUAGGGAGCGAGCGUUGGGUAUAGCCCUGCUCUGUCUCGGAGGGGAGCGGGACGAGGGGGGAAAGAAGGGGGACGGCUGCUGGGAAAGGGGUCGGUCCCGCGGCUUCGGCUUGCGGCUCUUAUAGGUGCUGCCGCCCCUCGGAGCGUCUCUAACUCCGGUGAGGGACGGGCGUUAGCAGUGCUGCUGGGGGCGGUACGAGGGGGAGCAGCCGAUUUUCUCGAACGGUUUUUGUUCGCUGUGUAUCGUGCCUGUAGGAUGGCGGCUGAUGCGGUCGCUGGUCAGAUAAUGCCGUAACUGCCGGUUGGUGCAGAGCAUCUCCAGUUUUCUGGGAGCGUAAAAUAGCGAGCCCAGUGCUUUUGGGAAGUUCUUGAUCUCCGCCCAAAGCGUAACUGCAGCCCGUCUUGAUGGGGAAAUGUUUUGCGUUUCUACAUGUUCGUUCGUUCUGAAGAAAGCAUGGAGUCCAUGGCGUGACAUCCGGCUGUGUUUUCGGAGCUCGUUCCCUCUCAAACCAGUCCUCUGCGUUUACAGUGCCUUUCUGCUUCCUGAACUCAAAUAUAAAAGAUGCUAUGGGAGUUGAAAUAUCAAGGGAGAACGUGGAUGGCUUUUAAAUGUGGAGAGAUAGCAGUCUUAAAAUGAUUGUACUUUAAAAUAGUCAACAUGAGUUAGGAAGUGACAGCCUCAGGAAAGAUUGAAGUAAAAGUUGCCCUCAUUUCUCUUGGAAAUUCAGGACUUCAUGCAUCCAAAAAACAUUGUCGAGAUUUAGAUAGAAAAAGUUUUCUUCUUGUCCUGUGUGAUUGCAGAAAGACACUGAAGCGUUUCACUGAAGACCUCAAAAUGUUGUUAAAUACAUCAGCAGUAUGUUGCAGAAAUAACAGCACUGUAAACAAAAUGAAGCAAAACCAAUGCAGGCUGAGGGAGCAGGCAGUAGCAGGCAGUGGACCUGAAGCUUAAUGCCUGGAAAUCCAGAGCUGUGUCUGACAGUCUCUCUUGACGUACAUCCCAAGAAAAAAGUAGCUAAUCCAAGGAAAGUUGCUCUAUCUCAUCAGAAAUGUGGUAAUUGCUUUCCAGCUAUUUUCCCUCUAUUUCUUUAAAGGUAGUUACCUAUCCAGCUGUUGUAAAUUUUGCUAGGGUAUGUACAGCAAAAUGAAACUAGUUAGAGAUUCAAUUAGGUAAAAUAAUAUUCAUACUUUUUUAAUUUUUAAACAUUAUUGUUCCUAAGAGUGAAUUAUUCUGCUAAGAGAUUAUUAACACCUUUUCUUA